RNAcentral lists this ribosomal RNA (308 nucleotides) under Mycobacterium tuberculosis. RNAcentral's name for it is "partial 23S ribosomal RNA". It matches the Rfam family "Bacterial large subunit ribosomal RNA", at positions 2136 to 2443 of the family's 2925-position model. The record is from RNAcentral. Lineage: Bacteria; Bacillati; Actinomycetota; Actinomycetes; Mycobacteriales; Mycobacteriaceae.
GUGUAGGAUAGGUGGGAGGCUUUGAAGCGUGGACGCCAGUCUGCGUGGAGCCAACCUUGAAAUACCACCCUUUAAUGUUUGAUGUUCUAACCUGGCGCCGUGAUCCGGCGUGGGGACAGUGUCUGGUGGGUAGUUUGACUGGGGCGGUCUCCUCCUAAAGAGUAACGGAGGAGCACGAAGGUUGGCUAAUCCUGGUCGGACAUCAGGAGGUUAGUGCAAUGGCAUAAGCCAGCUUGACUGCGAGCGUGACGGCGCGAGCAGGUGCGAAAGCAGGUCAUAGUGAUCCGGUGGUUCUGAAUGGAAGGGCC